UGUAUUAGUAAUGGUACUGUAUUUAAAUAAAAUUGUUUCUGGUCAUUAAUAUGGAUCUUGUUGUUGUUCACUGUUAAGUUUGUGUUAUAUUGUAAACAGUGAUAAUAGCAGAUGGGAAUCUGUAAAGAGUUAUCAGCAGCCUUUUUAUUACACUUAUAUCCUGGUUUUUGAUAUGUUUUAUUUGUGUAACUUUUUGAAAUAGUUACAUUUUUAACUUAUAGCCAGAUUAUUAUUGGUUUCUUUGCUUUCUUCUCCCAUUACUAAAAAAAUAAAUAAAUAACUGCAUUAUUGACAUUGUUAAAAUAUUCCUCUCAUAUCCUGUAGGGGAGCAAGUGAUGAGGAACUUGACAGAGAGCCAUAAGUUUGAUAUUUUACAGAGAGCUGCCUUUAUAUAUUCAGUUACACAACACAUCUGUGAGGAAAAUACAUUCAGGGGUUAUAACUUUAAAUAAUAAAGAAAGAAAUUCAAUAUUAAGAGACUCAAACUCCUUAUCAGCUGACACAUGGAAGUGAAACUAUUACAGCAGGAUCUGUUUUGUUAUAUGAGGAAGUAAACUACAUGAAGAGAGAAAAACACAAUGAAACCAUGGCCUUCAGAAGGAAUCUCUCUAAAGAACAUGACACACAGAUAAAGACAGUCGAGCAUCAGAUUCAGGGGGGUGAGUCAAAUUUACCUGAACACAUCGAUGUGUCUGUGAGGAAAAACCCAGCGAUGGAUCUUUCAGAUCUCU
Molecule: long non-coding RNA, 731 nt
Organism: Cyprinus carpio (common carp)
Lineage: Eukaryota; Metazoa; Chordata; Actinopteri; Cypriniformes; Cyprinidae
Exons: 3
Source: RefSeq, a predicted model, not a curated record